This 250-nucleotide long non-coding RNA is filed under the name Malus domestica (apple). Its description in RNAcentral is "long non-coding RNA (MDOM_LNC020814)". The record is from RNAcentral. Lineage: Eukaryota; Viridiplantae; Streptophyta; Magnoliopsida; Rosales; Rosaceae.
CGAGGUAGUCCCCUUCGGUUCCUGCGUUGUUGCAAGUUUCAACGAAGUGGGCAACGUGCUGUUUUGGGUUUCCCUUUCCAUCAAAUUGCAUGAACUUUGGUGGUUGAUAACCCCUCGGCAUCCUUAAGGCAUCGAUCUUCUUUGAAUACGGCUUUGAGUACAACCCGGAGGUAUUUUAGCUCCCUUCGUACUGUGCCUUGAUGGUGUUGGUGAUCAUCUCUUGCAGCUGCUGGAUAGAAAGAGAUCCCAU